RNAcentral lists this ribosomal RNA (425 nucleotides) under Salmonella enterica subsp. enterica serovar Typhimurium var. 5- str. CFSAN004345. RNAcentral's name for it is "bacterial LSU rRNA". It matches the Rfam family "Bacterial large subunit ribosomal RNA", at positions 407 to 832 of the family's 2925-position model. The record is from RNAcentral. Lineage: Bacteria; Pseudomonadati; Pseudomonadota; Gammaproteobacteria; Enterobacterales; Enterobacteriaceae.
GAUGAGUAGGGCGGGACACGUGGUAUCCUGUCUGAAUAUGGGGGGACCAUCCUCCAAGGCUAAAUACUCCUGACUGACCGAUAGUGAACCAGUACCGUGAGGGAAAGGCGAAAAGAACCCCGGCGAGGGGAGUGAAAAAGAACCUGAAACCGUGUACGUACAAGCAGUGGGAGCACAGGUUUACCUGUGUGACUGCGUACCUUUUGUAUAAUGGGUCAGCGACUUAUAUUCUGUAGCAAGGUUAACCGAAUAGGGGAGCCGGAGGGAAACCGAGUCUUAAUUGGGCGUUAAGUUGCAGGGUAUAGACCCGAAACCCGGUGAUCUAGCCAUGGGCAGGUUGAAGGUUGGGUAACACUAACUGGAGGACCGAACCGACUAAUGUUGAAAAAUUAGCGGAUGACCUGUGGCUGGGGGUGAAAGGCCAA